RNAcentral lists this ribosomal RNA (445 nucleotides) under uncultured bacterium. Its description in RNAcentral is "bacterial SSU rRNA". It matches the Rfam family "Bacterial small subunit ribosomal RNA", at positions 30 to 504 of the family's 1533-position model. The record is from RNAcentral.
UGAACGCUGGCGGCGUGUCUAAGGCAUGCAAGUCGAGAGCAGUUCGGCUGCUCGGCAAACGGGAGAGUAACACAUUGGUAACCUACCCUGAGGACGAGAAUAACUCCGAGAAAUCGGAGAUAAUACUCGAUAAUAGUGGGGGGACAUAAGUCAUUCCCACUUAAAGCUCCGACGCCUCGGGAGGGGCCUAUGGCCUAUCAGCUUGUUGGUAAGGUAAAAGCUUACCAAGGCUACGACGGGUAGCGGGUGUGAGAGCAUGACCCGCCUCACUGGGACUGAGACACUGCCCAGACUCCUACGGGAGGCUGCAGUCAAGAAUCUUCCUCAAUGGCCGAAAGGCUGAAGGAGCGACGCCGCGUGAUUGAAGACGCCCUUCGGGGUGUAAAAAUCUUUUCUGAGGGACGAAACAAUGACGGUACCUCAGGAAUAAGGGGCUGCUAACCUC